RNAcentral lists this long non-coding RNA (1504 nucleotides) under Cricetulus griseus (Chinese hamster). RNAcentral describes it as "lncRNA (ENSCGRG00015033036.1)". The record is from RNAcentral. Lineage: Eukaryota; Metazoa; Chordata; Mammalia; Rodentia; Cricetidae.
CGCUUUCCGGGGCGGGGCCGGGGGGGGGGGCGGGAGCGCAGCUCUGCUCCCAGCCUCCUCUCCUCCCUCACGUGGUCUGGUGACCAGUCACAUGCCCGCCCGCCUGCCUGGGGGAGAAGUUGGUGAGUGGGCGCACCUCCACUAGGCUCCCAGCACAGCUGUGCCUCCGGCAGUACAGACUGCCCACUUGUGUGGGUUCGGAUCGCACAGCGUGGAGCCAAUCCCACCAGGCUGGGCGAGCAUGCCCGGAGAGUUAGCCAAGUCAGGGCCUGGGAGGAAUUCUGCCCUGACUCUGCAAGAGCCAAGGAGACCAAGCGGACGAGAGAAGAUUCAGCUUCGGGUCGCAGAGAGGUGUACGGCAUGCCCAUGGUUGGUUUCCCUUUUAUACAUUUCACGGCGUGUGCAUUGUAAUACGCACGGUUCUAUCAGGUAGGACCAGAGUAAGAGACUAGAUUAAAAAAAAAAAAAAAAGACUGAAUCGAGAGUUCGAGUCAUGCACGUGGAGCCUGGUAGUGAGCUGUUUGGAGCAGGGACAGCUGUCGUUUCUGAUGCUCUGACAUCGUCAACAAGUGGCUUCCACUUCCUUCUCUACUGCGACCUCGUGGCCCAGGCAGUAUGUCUACGUUCUGGGCAGCGGAAGAAGAAGGAAACAACUGCACACCACUGCACACCUGCCCCCGGGACAGUUCUUGAAAUGACACCCCACUCUGGCAUCCCAUUGGGUAGAAUUGAGUCAUAUGACCACAACUAGCUGCAAAGGUUUCUGGGAAGUGUAGUCUAUUCUGGCAGAAUUGUGCUGUGGCAAGUGGUGGGACAAGGCCUUAAUUACAGGGACCUUUGUCCAACUGACACGCUGAAAAUUGGCCCCGGGGAUGAUUCAGCAGCAAUCACUUCCAGAGAAAAACCCUAUCUGGGAUGACGUCAUCUCACGCCACACCCACCGUUCCUGCUCGCCUCUCCUCUCCAGAAGCCCAGUCCCAUCUGUGGAGCUCCGAGUUGCCAUCUGCAUUGUGACAAAUAUGCAUUUUAUUACUGAAAUAGCAUUCCUGCGCCCAACGGUGCCCUCAGCACUCCACAUUUAAUAGCACUUAGAAAAGGAAGAAAUCCCAGCCCCGGGGAUGACCAAGGGCAUACAUACCGCGAGCUCUGUCUGCCGUGUCCUGUAUCCGGAGCUGGAUAUUUUAUCUCUGCACACCACGAAUAUUUAGACUCUGAGGCAAAGAGAUUGGUUUAACUUGAUCACUGGAAAUCCAGGCACAUGGCGAGUGUGGCUAUGCAGGAAGCUUACAGAGUAUGGAGAAAAAAGUGCCCAAGACGGACCGGGCAUCUGUGCAGGGCCUGGAUUGAAGACCCCAAUUCACCAGCCACCCCCUUUUCCCUGACCAAUAAUACCAGGCAAGUGCUUGUGAGAGGCACCCUUAUCUUCAUCUACUAAUUUUGGUUUUCCUUGCUACUUCAGGAGAGAGCCAUUUUAUUUCUGUCAUCUAAUUUUGAAGAGCAGUGG